RNA transcript from Melozone crissalis (California towhee), 1599 nucleotides. It is a transcript of the gene named 1-phosphatidylinositol phosphodiesterase-like, with no coding region annotated. The transcript has 3 exons. The record is from RefSeq and is a predicted model, not a curated record. NCBI's taxonomy places the organism in Eukaryota, Metazoa, Chordata, Aves, Passeriformes, Passerellidae.
CGCAGCCAUUCCCGUGGGCAGCAUCAAGGGGCCCCGCGGCACCACGAUCCCGUUUGUCCUGAUUCCUGGGGAGGGAGGUGCAGAGGCUUGAAUGGCUGCUGUCGGGAUCAGCCAGGUGGUUUUCCAGCCUGGUGUGUCUGUCAAGUGCGCUCCUUGGCCGAGGGCUGAGGAUGAAUCCCAGGUGCACGUGCCAUUUGCGAGGCAGGACGCGCGUCAUGACAGUCACCGGGUUAAUGGCUGGCAUCCCGCUCCACCUGCCAGUGUGCCGCCAGCACCCACGGCCGUGCCCUGCUCAUUGGGCUCUGCUCCACAGCCACAGGCAAACCCAGGGCUCUGGGGGGCCAGCCAGGUGCCGAGGUGCCUGCUCUCCCGGCGGCAUGGAGACAUGGUCCCGGCGCAGCGCUGCCUUCGACUGUGUGCCCCAGCCGGCAGCCUGCUGCCCUGACUGGAUGGCGGGGCUCCCCGACGCCCUGCCCCUCUCCCACCUCUCCAUCCCUGGCACCCACGACUCCCUCAGCCUAUUCGGUGGCCGGCGCCUGCGGUGCCAGAGCUGGGGCCUGGAGGCCCAGCUGGCGGCCGGCAUCCGCUUCCUGGAUGUGCGCUGCAAGCUGUCGCGGGGGGAGCUCCGCAUCUACCACCUCUGCACCUUCCAGCGGGCCAGCCUGCGCGGCGUCCUGCGCCGCACCCUGCGCUUUCUCCGCGCCCACCCCGGCGAGGCCGUGCUUAUGCGCAUCAAGGAGGAGUUGCCCAUCUUCUCCCGGCCCGGCUUCGCCGCCCAGCUGCACCACUGCCUGCUGGAAGAGGGACAGGGCUGCGUGUGGUGCCGGGAGGAGGUGCCCACGCUGGGCCAGGUGCGCGGGAAGAUAGUGGUGCUGGAGGCGCUGGCGCGGGAAGUGCUGGGCAUCCCCUACGAGCAGCUGAGCAUCAGCGACGCCUGGAACGUGCUCUCGCUGGAGCGCAAGUGGGCCCGGGUGCGGCGGCACCUGGAGAAGGCGGCCGGCGGAGACCCCAGCACCAUGUACCUCACCUUCUGCUCCGGCAACGGGCUCUUCACCUGCCCAGAGGAGGUGGCCCGCUUUGUGAACCCCCGCUGCUGCCAGCACCUGCGGCGCCGGGCCGGGCAGCCCGUGCGCUGGGGGGUGGUCAUCAUGGACUUCCCUGGCGCAGGCCUUCUCCGGCUCAUCGUGGAGAGCAACGGCCCGCGGGCCAAUGGACGCGGCACAGCGGCUCCCGGCACCCCCACGGUUCGGGCCCGGCACCGCCGCGGCACACGGGAGCGGGGCCGCGGCCCGCACAGCCCCGCACGCUGCCCGCGCCGCUGUCCCUCGGGGAGGACACUGCUCCCGGCCCCGCGCCUCUGCCCGAGGGCCUCCGGGCCUGGGGGGCAAAAGCGGGAUUCCAGGCCUUGCAGAGCACCGGGAAGCCUUCGUGUGACGAUGGUGUGACAGCCGCGGAGGCAGCAGAGAAGGGCCGGAGCCGGGCAGGCCGGGGAGCUGCGCCCUGCCCUCAGAAGCCAGAAUGUCCUGGUGGAGCAGCAUCAAUUUCUUUGGAACUGGAAAAUGCAUGUGACCUGCAUGGCUCUUGUUUGGCUUUAGCUGG